CCUACGGGAGGCUGCAGUAGGGAAUCUUCCACAAUGGGCGAAAGCCUGAUGGAGCAACGCCGCGUGGGUGAAGAAGGUCUUCGGAUCGUAAAACCCUGUUGUUAGAGAAGAUAGUGCGUGAGAGUAACUGUUCACGUUUCGACGGUAUCUAACCAGAAAGCCCCGGCUAACUACGUGCCAGCAGCCGCGGUAAUACGUAGGUGGCAAGCGUUAUCCGGAUUUAUUGGGCGUAAAGGGCACGCAGGCGGGCUUUUAAGUCUGAUGUGAAAGCCUUCGGCUUAACCGGAGGAGUGCAUUGGAAACUGGGAGACUGGAGUGCAGAAGAGGAGAGUGGAACUCUAGGUGUAGCGGUGAAAUGCGUAGAUAUAGGGAAGAAUACUAGUGGCGAAAGCGGCCCGCUGGGCUGUAACUGACGCUGAGGUGCGAAAGCGUGGGUAGCAAACAGGAUUAGAUACCCUAGUAGUC
Molecule: ribosomal RNA, 465 nt
Filed under: uncultured bacterium
Lineage: Bacteria
Description: partial 16S ribosomal RNA
Rfam family: Bacterial small subunit ribosomal RNA
Source: RNAcentral